RNAcentral lists this ribosomal RNA (480 nucleotides) under uncultured bacterium. RNAcentral's name for it is "partial 16S ribosomal RNA". It matches the Rfam family "Bacterial small subunit ribosomal RNA", at positions 28 to 507 of the family's 1533-position model. The record is from RNAcentral.
GACGAACGCUGGCGGCGUGCUUAACACAUGCAAGUCGAACGAUGAAGAAAAGAAUCGAAGCUUCGGCAGAAAUUCAUUUCGGAUUAGUGGCAGACGGGUGAGUAACGCGUGAGCAACCUACCUCUUACAAAGGGAUAGCCUCGGGAAACCGGGAUUAAUACCAUAUAACAUUGUGACGAAGCAUUUCGAUGCAAUCAAAGCUACGGCGGUAAGAGAUGGGCUCGCGUCCCAUUAACCGGAUGGUGAGGUAACGGCUCACCAUAGUGACGAUGGGUAACCGGCCUGAGAGGGUGAACGGUCACACUGGAACUGAGACACGGUCCAGACUCCUACGGGAGGCAGCAGUGGGGAAUAUUGCACAAUGGAGGGAACUCUGAUGCAGCGACGCCGCGUGAGUGAUGAAGAAAUUCGUUUCGUAAAACUCUGUUCUAUGGGAAGAAAAGGACUGUACCAUAGGAGAAAGCUCCGGCUAAAUACGUG